GAUCUCCUGACCUCGUGACCUGCCCAGCUCGGCCUCCCAAAGUGCUGGGAUUACAGGCAUGAGCCAUUGCGCCUAACCUCAGAAACCAUUUUUAUAACCUCAAUACCUAAUAGAAACUGGCACAUGGCCCCUGUGAGCUGUGACUGCAAGAGUCAGCACCUAAAUUAGAUCAACACUACAACAUCAAAAAGCCAGCUUGAUGGCACAGCGGGGAGUGAGGAAGACUCGGUGGACAAAUCUGACUGGAAAACAAGUAGGCGUUGCAGAUGAAGACCUGGAACCAUGGUAGGAAGUGGGACAGGGAGCAUUUGGACAAGCUGUUCAAGAACUGAUCAUGCUCAUGUGUAUGGGAAAACAGAUGGAGGAAGAGAAAUUCCUGAAGAGCACAAGACUGGUGGGGCAAGGAACAAGCCUACUGAGAUGAGUUGCAGAUUUGAAGAUGGGAGAAAUGGUUUCGUUGUCUACCAUGUAAAAACUCAUUUAUGCAAGAUGCUUGAUAUCUGAAUUUCAAUUUCUUCAUUAUCAAAAUGAAUAUUAAAAAUACUCUACUUCUUAGAGUUGUCAAAAAGAUACGGAGAUGUGAAUAAUUUGAAAUUAUUAUCUAUAUGUAAAGUAUUACUAUAUUUACUAUCCUUAUCAAAUAUUUAUCCUACUGUCUAACACAUUAAAUGGACAAAAUAGAACAUUUGAAGGGUGUAGAUCUUGAAAGUUUAAUUUUACAUAAAAAAGGCCAGAAACCUUUCCUAAGAAAAAUGUACAUAUUGCAAAAUGUAGC
RNAcentral lists this long non-coding RNA (775 nucleotides) under Homo sapiens (human). Its description in RNAcentral is "HSALNT0306411". Lineage: Eukaryota; Metazoa; Chordata; Mammalia; Primates; Hominidae. The record is from RNAcentral.